UAAUUCUAACGAGUUUACCUAACGUGGAA
RNAcentral lists this small RNA (29 nucleotides) under Bombyx mori (domestic silkworm). RNAcentral describes it as "ovarian small RNA-19905". Lineage: Eukaryota; Metazoa; Arthropoda; Insecta; Lepidoptera; Bombycidae. The record is from RNAcentral.